Molecule: ribosomal RNA, 773 nt
Filed under: uncultured bacterium
Lineage: Bacteria
Description: bacterial SSU rRNA
Rfam family: Bacterial small subunit ribosomal RNA
Source: RNAcentral
AGAGUUUGAUUCUGGCUCAGGAUGAACGCUGGCGGCGUGCCUAACACAUGCAAGUCGAGCGGACCAAUGCUCAUUUCAGCUUUGCUGAUUUGAGCAACGGUUAGCGGCGGACGGGUGAGUAACGCGUGGGCAACCUGCCCUGUGCAGGGGGAUAACACAGCGAAAGCUGUGCUAAUACCACAUAAGACUACGCUAUCGCAUGAUAGAGUAGUCAAAGCUUUAGCGGCACAGGAUGGGCCCGCGUCUGAUUAGCUAGUUGGUGGGGUAACGGCCUACCAAGGCGACGAUCAGUAGCCGACCUGAGAGGGUGAUCGGCCACACUGGAACUGAGACACGGUCCAGACUCCUACGGGAGGCAGCAGUGGGGAAUAUUGCACAAUGGGGGAAACCCUGAUGCAGCAACGCCGCGUGAGCGAAGAAGGCCUUCGGGUCGUAAAGCUCUGUCCUAAGGGAAGAAGUAUGACGGUAUCUUAGGAGGAAGCCCCGGCUAACUACGUGCCAGCAGCCGCGGUAAUACGUAGGGGGCGAGCGUUAUCCGGAAUCACUGGGCGUAAAGGGUGCGUAGGCGGCCGAGUAAGCCAGAGGUGAAAGGCUACGGCUUAACCGUAGUAAGCCUUUGGAACUACUUGGCUUGAGUGCAGGAGAGGAGAGUGGAAUUCCUAGUGUAGCGGUGAAAUGCGUAGAUAUUAGGAGGAACACCAGUGGCGAAGGCGACUCUCUGGACUGUAACUGACGCUGAGGCACGAAAGCGUGGGGAGCAAACAGGAUUAGAU